This 1491-nucleotide ribosomal RNA is filed under the name metagenome. RNAcentral describes it as "bacterial SSU rRNA". It matches the Rfam family "Bacterial small subunit ribosomal RNA". The record is from RNAcentral.
AGAGUUUGAUCAUGGCUCAGAUUGAACGCUGGCGGCAUGCCUUACACAUGCAAGUCGAACGGCAGCACGAGAGCUUGCUCUUGGUGGCGAGUGGCGAACGGGUGAGUAAUAUAUCGGAACGUACCCUAGAGUGGGGGAUAACGUAGCGAAAGUUACGCUAAUACCGCAUACGACCUACGGAUGAAAGUGGGGGAUCGCAAGACCUCAUGCUCAUGGAGCGGCCGAUAUCUGAUUAGCUAGUUGGUGGGGUAAAAGCUCACCAAGGCGACGAUCAGUAGCUGGUCUGAGAGGACGACCAGCCACACUGGAACUGAGACACGGUCCAGACUCCUACGGGAGGCAGCAGUGGGGAAUUUUGGACAAUGGGCGCAAGCCUGAUCCAGCAAUGCCGCGUGAGUGAAGAAGGCCUUCGGGUUGUAAAGCUCUUUUGUCAGGGAAGAAACGGUGGACUCUAAUACAGAUCACUAAUGACGGUACCUGAAGAAUAAGCACCGGCUAACUACGUGCCAGCAGCCGCGGUAAUACGUAGGGUGCAAGCGUUAAUCGGAAUUACUGGGCGUAAAGCGUGCGCAGGCGGUUGUGCAAGACAGAUGUGAAAUCCCCGGGCUCAACCUGGGAAUUGCAUUUGUGACUGCACGGCUAGAGUGUGUCAGAGGGGGGUAGAAUUCCACGUGUAGCAGUGAAAUGCGUAGAGAUGUGGAGGAAUACCGAUGGCGAAGGCAGCCCCCUGGGAUAACACUGACGCUCAUGCACGAAAGCGUGGGGAGCAAACAGGAUUAGAUACCCUGGUAGUCCACGCCCUAAACGAUGUCUACUAGUUGUCGGGUCUUAAUUGACUUGGUAGCGCAGCUAACGCGUGAAGUAGACCGCCUGGGGAGUACGGUCGCAAGAUUAAAACUCAAAGGAAUUGACGGGGACCCGCACAAGCGGUGGAUGAUGUGGAUUAAUUCGAUGCAACGCGAAAAACCUUACCUACCCUUGACAUGUCUGGAAUCCUUGAGAGAUCAGGGAGUGCUCGAAAGAGAAUCAGAACACAGGUGCUGCAUGGCUGUCGUCAGCUCGUGUCGUGAGAUGUUGGGUUAAGUCCCGCAACGAGCGCAACCCUUGUCAUUAGUUGCUACGAAAGGGCACUCUAAUGAGACUGCCGGUGACAAACCGGAGGAAGGUGGGGAUGACGUCAAGUCCUCAUGGCCCUUAUGGGUAGGGCUUCACACGUCAUACAAUGGUACAUACAGAGGGCCGCCAACCCGCGAGGGGGAGCUAAUCCCAGAAAGUGUAUCGUAGUCCGGAUUGUAGUCUGCAACUCGACUACAUGAAGUUGGAAUCGCUAGUAAUCGCGGAUCAGCAUGUCGCGGUGAAUACGUUCCCGGGUCUUGUACACACCGCCCGUCACACCAUGGGAGCGGGUUUCACCAGAAGUGGGUAGCCUAACCGCAAGGAGGGCGCUCACCACGGUGGGAUUCGUGACUGGGGUGAAGUCGUAACAAGGUA